AUUUAAGUAGCUUAAUAGAGAGUAUAAUAUUGAAGAUAUUAGGGUGAUUGAUAAUAAUCCUUAAAUA
RNAcentral lists this transfer RNA (67 nucleotides) under Lioporeus pilatei. Its description in RNAcentral is "tRNA-Phe". The record is from RNAcentral. Lineage: Eukaryota; Metazoa; Arthropoda; Insecta; Coleoptera; Dytiscidae.